Molecule: long non-coding RNA, 1842 nt
Filed under: Dromaius novaehollandiae (emu)
Lineage: Eukaryota; Metazoa; Chordata; Aves; Casuariiformes; Dromaiidae
Description: lncRNA (ENSDNVG00000007944.1)
Source: RNAcentral
CGCCCUGAGCCCGUCCCCCUUGUCCCGCCGGCCAGACCCGCUCGGACGAGGAGAGGGAGGCCUGGCUGAAGACCCUGCGGGCCAGGGGAGCAGCGGAGCCGGCCUGCGAGCGGACCCCGCCGGACAGCCCGAGCCUGGGAGAUGCCGGCAGCUGCCCGGCUGCAGGGUAAGGAGGCAGCGGCGGCCGUGGGGCCGGCACGGGGCUGCCAGCGCUGAUGGACUCACCUCCGCCCCUGCUUGCAGCGGGCUGCUGCUGCGCCGCUUCCCGACCCCCAACGCCUACAUGGACGACCCCUUUGGGCAGCUCCCGCCGGCCGCGUCCCCCAACCCCGUCUACUCCAACGUGGAGCGGCUGCAGCAGCUGCAGCAGAGCCUGGACCGCGCGGCCCCCCGGCCGCACAGGAGACCCCUCUCCGCGGUGCCCAGCGGGGCCUGCAGCACCGCCCUGGGGGGGGCCGUGCCGGCGCAGGCAGGUGAGGAGCGGGCUCCGGCUCCGCUUGGCUUCGUUUCAUCUCCUUGGCCCCUCGCUCGGGGCAGCCGCUCCGCGCCUGGGUGCUCCCCGUGCAGACCGUCCCGGGAGAGGACGCGGUGCCCGCGAGCCCCGCGCCGCGGCUGCCCUUUCCCCUGCCCUUCCUCCCGCAGCAUCCGCCGCGCCUCGCCUGGGCCAGGCUGCCAGCCGGCAGCGGGCGGAGGUGAGCCCCGAGCUCAAGAGCAGGGAUUUCUUCCGCUCCCAGCGCACGCUGACGCUGCCCGAGAGGAAGGGGGCUCGCGACGGCUUGGACUUCCUCAUCGGUAGGAUGCGGCGGGCUCGGAGCCCGCGCGAGACGGUGCACGGGGUGCCGCUCCCCGGCCCGCGCAGCACCGGGCUCAGCCUCCCGCUGCCCGCGCAGGCAGGAGAGCCUUCCCCAAGCUGGAGGAGAAGGUGGGGCAGCUGGAGAGGGCCUGCCGCGUGAAGAGCAGGCUGAAAGCCGGCUCCGAGAUGAACCUGCUGGCCAUCGGCAAGUCGCUCAAGGGCCACAUAGCCGCCACCGCGAGCUCGGCCGGCUCCGAGGUAGGAGGGCCGCGGUGGCGGGGACCGGGGCGCGCGCGGCCUGGGGAGGGCUGCGAGGGGCCUUUGGCCRGGUGGGAAAGGCAGCGGGGUCUCUGUGCGUUGCUCGUCGGGGUUGGGCAGAGCAGGCAUCGCCCUCUCCCCUCUGCCCGCCCCGGUUUUGCUGUCAGGGCUCUUUCCUCACGCCGCUGCUGAAGCGCACGGCCUCCGCGAAGAGCGCCCUGAAGCGAGCUCCCUCCGUGGUCGUCAUCGAAAAGGGGAAGGUGCUGCAGAAGAGGAAGGUACGGCUGGAGCGGGGAGGCGGGGACGCUCGCUCACACGUGGGCAGAGUUAAGGUGACCCGGGUGCAGCCCGGGACCCCGGAGGUCCUGCCAGAAGCUGCCCCRGCUCUGCUGCUUUCCAGGAGUGGGAGAUGAAGUCUGCCCUGUGAGCAGCCCCUCGUGCCCGCGCCGCGUUCCGGGGGCAGGAUCCGCCCCGCACACACCCUGCCCGCCCAGGCACCUCUCAGCACAGCAACGCUGCACGUGGACCGUGCAGGACCGCCUCGGUAUCUGUUUUUUUAACCAUUGGUAUCAACGCUAUAACUACGUGUAUCUAUUUUUUAUAUAUAUUAUAUAUAUAUGAACUCCCUGUCUGGGUUUCCAGUUUCUCGGCAGCGGCACCGAGGGCGGGCAGCCCCUCGCGGGCCCCGCUGCCUUGUCCCCCUCCCUGGCCCGGGGUCAGGGCUGCUCCCAGCAGCUUUGCGCUUUGGGCCCAGUUUUCCGGCUGCAACCUCACUGCCGCCAGCUCUGUCC